AUGCACGCUAGCUACAGGCUUAACACCUGCAAGUCGCGGGGCAGCAUGGGGGUUGCUUGCAAUCCCCGAUGGCGACCGGCGCACGGGUGAGUAACGCGUAUCCAACCUGCCCUUCACCACGGGAUAACCCGGCGAAAGUCGGACUAAUACCGUAUGUUGUCCAUUGACGGCAUCCGAUUUGGACGAAAGGCUUGGCGGUGAGGGAUGGGGAUGCGUCCGAUUAGCCAGACGGCGGGGUAACGGCCCACCGUGGCUACGAUCGGUAGGGGUUCUGAGAGGAAGGUCCCCCACACUGGAACUGAGACACGGUCCAGACUCCUACGGGAGGCAGCAGUGAGGAAUAUUGGUCAAUGGGCGUAAGCCUGAACCAGCCAAGUAGCGUGCAGGAUGACGGCCCUAUGGGUUGUAAACUGCUUUUAUGCGGGGAUAAAGUGGCCCACGUGUGGGCUUUUGCAGGUACCGCAUGAAUAAGGACCGGCUAAUUCCGUG
This 489-nucleotide ribosomal RNA is filed under the name uncultured bacterium. RNAcentral's name for it is "partial 16S ribosomal RNA". It matches the Rfam family "Bacterial small subunit ribosomal RNA", at positions 29 to 507 of the family's 1533-position model. The record is from RNAcentral.